GCUUAGAGAGGGGUCAAUGUCCUAUCAGCUAGUUGGUAGGGUAAUGGCCUACCAAGGCUAAGACGGGUAGCCGGCCUGAGAGGGUGGUCGGCCACACUGGGACUGAGACACUGCCCAGACUCCUACGGGAGGCUGCAGUCGAGAAUCUUUCGCAAUGCCCGAAAGGGUGACGAAGCGACGCCGCGUGUGGGAAGAAGGCCUUCGGGUUGUAAACCACUGUCGGGAGUUAAGAAAUGUAAGGGUGUUAAUAGCAUCCUUACUUGACUAAGGCUCCGGAGGAAGCCACGGCUAACUCUGUGCCAGCAGCCGCGGUAAUACAGAGGCGGCAAGCGUUGUUCGGAAUUAUUGGGCGUAAAGAGCACGUAGGCGGCUUUGUAAGUCAGUUGUGAAAGCCUUCCGCUUAACGGAAGAACAGCAUCUGAUACUGCAAGGCUAGAGUGCGGAAGGG
Molecule: ribosomal RNA, 448 nt
Filed under: uncultured Planctomycetota bacterium
Lineage: Bacteria; Pseudomonadati; Planctomycetota
Description: bacterial SSU rRNA
Rfam family: Bacterial small subunit ribosomal RNA
Source: RNAcentral